RNAcentral lists this transfer RNA (63 nucleotides) under Hypoxylon rubiginosum. Its description in RNAcentral is "tRNA-Val". It matches the Rfam family "tRNA". From Rfam's summary of the family: Transfer RNA (tRNA) molecules are approximately 80 nucleotides in length. Their secondary structure includes four short double-helical elements and three loops (D, anti-codon, and T loops). Further hydrogen bonds mediate the characteristic L-shaped molecular structure. tRNAs have two regions of fundamental functional importance: the anti-codon, which is responsible for specific mRNA codon recognition, and the 3' end, to which the tRNAs corresponding amino acid is attached (by aminoacyl-tRNA synthetases). tRNAs cope with the degeneracy of the genetic code in two manners: having more than one tRNA (with a specific anti-codon) for a particular amino acid; and 'wobble' base-pairing, i.e. permitting non-standard base-pairing at the 3rd anti-codon position. The record is from RNAcentral. Lineage: Eukaryota; Fungi; Ascomycota; Sordariomycetes; Xylariales; Hypoxylaceae.
GCUGAGGUGGUCUAGUGGUAAGAUUCCAGGAAGGAGACGCCAGUUCGAUUCUGGCCCUCGGCA